AGACCUCGUUGGAGAAGCUUCCAGCACUUCCUGCCAUCUGAAAUGCUGCUGUUUUACUUUGAUUGCCUCUCUCCUCUGAAAGACUGGAAGUUCUUCGAGGGCAGUGAUUUUCUUGCAAGGCUAAAUCCUCAGUACCUGAAACAUGCUUCACACUUGCAAUCAAAGCAUAUGGACUAUAUUUUAAUUCUACAGACAUUGCGUUAGGCAGAACAGCUACCAACACCCAAUCCCUGAAAUUUGUGAUUAUGUUUUGAUACAUGGCAAAAGGAACUAUGCAGAUGUAAUUAAGGUUAAGAACUUUAAAAUAGGAAGAUUAAAUCCAAGGAGUUCUUCAAAGUAAAGAACUACUACAUGCAGAAGAUUGGGAAGAAAUAACAGAGAGUGCUUGAAGAAUAGAUGUGGCUAGGACAAUAUCUCUGAAUCUCUGAAUGGCCCAUGGUGGUGACCCCCAGCCAGAGUGAACUGUGCAGCAGCAAUGGUGCCCAGUGGGCAGCAACAGUGGAACAGAAGAAACCACAGUGGAAAGGAGGCCACUUUGUAUUAAAAAUAACAAUAUUUCAUAGGAAAUUCUCUUAAAUUCAUCAAGGGAUCCAGUGGCUGUGCAUAACCUUUUCUAGCUUCAACCCAUCGAACAUGAAUGCCAUGUGUUGAGGAUGCAGAAACAAUCAAGACAGACAAGGUUCUAGCCACCCUUGAGCUAUAACCAAGUUGGAGAAAAAAGUCAGCAUGCAAGUAAACAAUAAUCAUUCAAGCUAUAUAGGUUGUGCCUCAUGAAACAAAAGGACUUUGUAUGUGAGAGAGUAAUGGAAACCAGGCACAGCUUUUAAGAGAUGAUGUCUAGAAUGGGACCUAAAGAAGAAGGAGCUCUCCAUGCAAAAAUAUAAGAAAAGCCCAUUCUAAGCGAGAGACAUCAGGAAGGACAAAGGAACCGAGGCAGGAAAGAGUUUGGUGUCUUUUAGGAAUAGAUGAGAAUCCAAUCUUGGGCUAAUGAAGCAACACAAGAUUCGCAACAGCAGGGAGUUGCUACUAUCUUUAGCUUGAAGGAGAAAAAGGAGGAGGUUGUAUUACCAGAGCCCAGGGGUGGAGUGACCCAGCAUAACAUAGAAUCUUAGUUGGUAUAUUCAAGAGAAGUUGGAUCCAAAGAAGAGAUACAGCCAUUAUUAGAGAUGCUGCCCCAGAGGGAGAAGGAGAGAUACCUUGAAAAUUUCCCUUAAUCCCUCCAUUCGUUAUAUCACCAAUGACUUCCAGUGACUGAACCAAAUCAGAUGCCAGAUGACACAAUAGCCUAGCAAAUGCAGUCUAAGAAUUCAAUCUCCAACACACCCAGUAGAAAGAGCAAAGGGUAAGAAAUUGACUUGAGAGCAAGUUGGCUCAGAACAGUAGACCCUUAAAUUCAUUAAGGGUCAACUACUUUAAUACUUUGGGAAAAUAAUCCCACUAUGCAGGGAAAGAGGAUGAAUUUUAAAAUGUCAUAUUUUAGGUAUAUAAAGAAAAAUCCUGCCUGACCCUGAUAUAAAGAAAUGAAGAUAUUAGAAAAAAGUGUUGGCUCUACAUGUCCAGGUACUACUGAUCACGACAGCACUUACAGGCUCUAAAUGGUUAACUUCCUGAAAAGUGGCUGUUAUAUGGAAAACCAUAAAACAAUCAUUGGUGAUCCUUGUUUCUAUUUAAAAAAACAUGCUCUUAGGUUCAAGUAGACUGACCCACUUUAGGACUAUCUAUCCCUAGGGAUCUUGUAAAAUGCAGAGAAUGAGAAAAACCUUUAGAAGAUGCUAAACUCUCCGCUUUUAAGCUAACUAGCAUGUUGAACAAUUUAUUUGUACAAUAUGAGAUAUGACCAUAUUGCAUCUCAUCUUAUGGAAUUACUCAAGUUAUAUACAAUUUUCUCAAGUGCUAUUGCUAGUCUGGAUGUAGGAGUGAAGAGAAUAAAUUGAGGGCUUGAUCUAUGUUUGGGGUUUUCAGAGAAGACAUAGAAAUGAAAGAAGAACAGAUUGGUUGAGAAUAUAAUCAAGUGAUUAUGGGUUCUGUAUUGAGCAGAUAAUUUAGUCCAAGAAGAUGCUUAUAGUUAUGAAAGAAAAUUCAGGAUCAAGUACAUGAGGUCUAUAGAAGGUCAAACAGUAGUUAAGAAGGAGUGAAGAAGUGUGAGAGCUAAAGGAUGUAAAGUAGAAGUCAGAAAGUGAGGGCAAUGAGGCAUUCUAGUGCAUGAAUGUGACAGGGAGCAGCUGAAGAGAAUGGAAGUGAUAGUUCUAGUUCAACGGUUCCAGGAACUGCCAUGUUAGGGAGUUAGAAAGUUGCCCACAUGGAUUUGAAAUUUGUCCUUAAUUUAUUCAUCAAAUGUAGUUAGUGCUAUUAUGUCUAUUGUUCAACGUUGCUGAGUAACAAACAACCUCAAAAAUCCUAUCGGCUUCCAAUAACAUUGUGUCUCGUGCUUAUCAGACUGUGGUUUGACUAUUUUCAGUUGAUCUAGGCUGGACCAUGUUGCUCCACGGUGUGAGACUGGAGAACUUUGCUCCAGGAUUUCAGUCUUUUCUAUGUGUGUUUAUUUUAGAGGGCAGGCUGAUGGAGAAGAAGCUACCUGGGUAUGCUCUUCUUAUUGAGAGUGACAGUACAGGAGGCAAAAGCCUAACCACACAAGCAAAUUAAAACCUCAACUCACUUCAUAGCUGCUAAAAUUUCGUUGGCCAAAACAAUUCAUGUUUUAUUAAAAUAAACUGAAAACUGAAAUUAAUAAGAGGUUUUUCUUUUCUAAUGAGUUGUAUUAUAAAAUCAUACGGCAAAAUCUUUGGUUAAGACAGAGUAAAUAUUUCAAAUGAAGAUGCAAU
This 2822-nucleotide long non-coding RNA is filed under the name Homo sapiens (human). RNAcentral describes it as "HSALNT0119059". The record is from RNAcentral. Lineage: Eukaryota; Metazoa; Chordata; Mammalia; Primates; Hominidae.